Molecule: non-coding RNA, 73 nt
Organism: Quaeritorhiza haematococci
Lineage: Eukaryota; Fungi; Chytridiomycota; Chytridiomycetes; Quaeritorhizaceae
Source: the annotation of a GenBank genome assembly
GGCUGGGUGGCGCAAUGGAUAGCGCGUCUGACUUCGGAUCAGGAGGUUGUGGGUUCGAGUCCCAUCCUAGUCG